This 73-nucleotide transfer RNA is filed under the name Acromyrmex echinatior (Panamanian leafcutter ant). It matches the Rfam family "tRNA". Rfam says of the family: Transfer RNA (tRNA) molecules are approximately 80 nucleotides in length. Their secondary structure includes four short double-helical elements and three loops (D, anti-codon, and T loops). Lineage: Eukaryota; Metazoa; Arthropoda; Insecta; Hymenoptera; Formicidae. The record is from Rfam by way of RNAcentral.
GUCUCGGUAGUCUAAAGGUUUAAGACGCUCGCAUGGAAUGCGAGAGAUCAGGGUUCGACUCUUGAUCAAGGCA